RNAcentral lists this ribosomal RNA (464 nucleotides) under uncultured bacterium. Its description in RNAcentral is "bacterial SSU rRNA". It matches the Rfam family "Bacterial small subunit ribosomal RNA", at positions 29 to 524 of the family's 1533-position model. The record is from RNAcentral.
AACGAACGCUGGCGGCAGGCCUAACACAUGCAAGUCGAACGCCGUAGCAAUACGGAGUGGCAGACGGGUGAGUAACGCGUGGGAACAUACCCCUCGGUUCGGAAUAACUUAGGGAAACUUGAGCUAAUACCGGAUACGUCCGAGGUUUUAACCGGCCUCGGAGAAAGAUUUAUCGCCGGAGGAUUGGCCCGCGUCUGAUUAGCUUGUUGGUGAGGUAAUGGCUCACCAAGGCGACGAUCAGUAGCNGGUCUGAGAGGAUGAUCAGCCACAUUGGGACUGAGACACGGCCCAAACUCCUACGGGAGGCAGCAGUGGGGAAUAUUGGACAAUGGGCGAAAGCCUGAUCCAGCCAUGCCGCGUGAGUGAUGAAGGCCUUAGGGUUGUAAAGCUCUUUUACCCGGGAAGAUAAUGACGGUACCGGGAGAAUAAGCCCCGGCUAACUUCGUGCCAGCAGCCGCGGUAAU